CAGUAGCCGCGGUAAUACGAAGGGUGCAAGCGUUACUCGGAAUUACUGGGCGUAAAGCGUGCGUAGGUGGUGGUUUAAGUCCGUUGUGAAAGCCCUGGGCUCAACCUGGGAAUUGCAGUGGAUACUGGGUCACUAGAGUGUGGUAGAGGAUAGUGGAAUUUCCGGCGUAGCAGUGAAAUGCGUAGAGAUCGGAAGGAACAUCUGUGGCGAAGGCGACUAUCUGGGACAACACUGACGCUGAGGCACGAAAGCGUGGGGAGCAAACAGGAUUAGAUACCCCAGUAGUCCCUGUCUCUUAUAC
This 301-nucleotide ribosomal RNA is filed under the name uncultured bacterium. RNAcentral's name for it is "partial 16S ribosomal RNA". It matches the Rfam family "Bacterial small subunit ribosomal RNA", at positions 509 to 807 of the family's 1533-position model. The record is from RNAcentral.